RNAcentral lists this ribosomal RNA (2248 nucleotides) under Pelotomaculum sp. PtaU1.Bin035. RNAcentral describes it as "bacterial LSU rRNA". It matches the Rfam family "Bacterial large subunit ribosomal RNA", at positions 698 to 2925 of the family's 2925-position model. Lineage: Bacteria; Bacillati; Bacillota; Clostridia; Eubacteriales; Desulfotomaculaceae. The record is from RNAcentral.
AGUCCGUUGGAGUAGACCCGAAACCGGGUGAUCUACCCAUGUCCAGAGUGAAGCUUUAGUAAAAUAAAGUGGAGGCUCGAACCGACCGUCGUUGAAAAGGCGGCGGAUGAGGUGUGGGUAGGGGUGAAAUGCCAAUCGAACCCGGAAAUAGCUGGUUCUCCCCGAAAUAGCUUUAGGGCUAGCCUUGGGAGAUAAAUACCGGAGGUAGAGCACUGACUGGGCUAGGGGCCUUCACCGGUUACCGAACCCAAUCAAACUCCGAAUGCCGGAUAUAUUAAUCCCGGGAGUCAGACUGCGGGUGCUAAGAUUCGUAGUCAAGAGGGAAACAGCCCAGACCGUCGGCUAAGGUCCCAAAGACAGGCUAAGUGGAAAAGGAUGUGGAGUUGCCCGGACAACCAGGAUGUUGGCUUAGAAGCAGCCACCAUUUAAAGAGUGCGUAAUAGCUCACUGGUCAAGUGGCUCCGCGCCGAAAAUGUAACGGGGCUAAGCCUGUCACCGAAGCUGCGGCAAUGCGCAAGCAUUGGGUAGGGGAGCGUUCCGUACACAGAGAAGCUAUACUGUAAAGAGUAGUGGAGAGUACGGAAGUGAGAAUGCCGGUAUAAGUAAGCGAAAAGGCAGGUGAGAAUCCUGCCCGCCGAAAACCUAAGGUUUUCUGGGGAAGGCUCGUCCGCCCAGAGUAAGCCGGGACCUAAGCCGAGGCCGACAGGCGUAGGCGAUGGAGAAUCGGUUGAGAAUCCGAUGCCACUUUCCGCCGAUUGAAGGAUGGGGUGACACAGGAGGGUAAGCUAAGCGCGCGGUUGGAAAAGCGCGUCCAAAGCCGUAGGGAGAGAGGCAGGCAAAACCGUCUCUCGAUACGCCCGAGAGCUGAUGGGGAGCGAAAUAUAGUAGCGAAGUAGCCGAACCCAUACUGUCAAGAAAAACCUCUAACGAGGCGCAGAAAGUGCCCGUACCGCAAACCGACACAGGUAGGUGGGGUGAGAAUCCUAAGGCGCGCGAGAGAACCCUCGUUAAGGAACUCGGCAAAAUGACCCCGUAACUUCGGGAGAAGGGGUACCCCGCCAGCGUGAAAACUUUUACAGAGGUAGCGCGAGGGGGUCGCAGAGAAAAGGCCCAAGCGACUGUUUACCAAAAACACAGGUCCCUGCUAAAUCGCAAGAUGACGUAUAGGGGCUGACGCCUGCCCGGUGCUGGAAGGUUAAGGGGAGAGCUUAGGGGCAACCCGAAGGUUUGAACCGAAGCCCCAGUAAACGGCGGCCGUAACUAUAACGGUCCUAAGGUAGCGAAAUUCCUUGUCGGGUAAGUUCCGACCCGCACGAAAGGCGUAACGAUUUGGGCACUGUCUCAACGAGGGGCUUGGCGAACUUGUAAUGCCGGUGAAGAUGCCGGCUACCUGCGACAGGACAGAAAGACCCCGUGGAGCUUUACUGUAACCUGACAUUGGGUUUUGGUAUUGCAUGUACAGGAUAGGUGGGAGACUUGGAAAUCAGGACGCCAGUUUUGGCGGAGUCAACGUUGGGAUACCACCCUUGAAGUAUUGAAGUUCUAACAUAGCGCCGUGAAACCGGUGCGUGGACAGUAUCAGGCGGGCAGUUUGACUGGGGCGGUCGCCUCCCAAAGAGUAACGGAGGCGCCCAAAGGUUCCCUCAGCGCGGUUGGAAAUCGCGCGUUAGAGUGUAAAGGCAGAAGGGAGCUUGACAGCGAGACCAACAAGUCGAGCUGGGACGAAAGUCGGGCUUAGUGAUCCGGCGGUAUCGAGUGGAAGAGCCGUCGCUCAACGGAUAAAAGCUACCCCGGGGAUAACAGGCUUAUCUCCCCCAAGAGUCCACAUCGACGGGGAGGUUUGGCACCUCGAUGUCGGCUCAUCGCAUCCUGGGGCUGUAGUAGGUCCCAAGGGUUGGGCUGUUCGCCCAUUAAAGCGGUACGUGAGCUGGGUUCAGAACGUCGUGAGACAGUUCGGUCCCUAUCCGUCGCAGGCGCAGGAAACUUGAGAGGAGCUGUCCCUAGUACGAGAGGACCGGGAUGGACAGACCACUGGCGUACCAGUUAUCGUGCCAACGGUAGCGCUGGGUAUCUAUGUCUGGCCGGGAUAAGCGCUGAAAGCAUCUAAGCGCGAAGCCCCCCUCAAGAUGAGGUUUCCCACAGCAUAAGCUGGUAAGACCCCUGGAAGACAACCAGGUAGAUAGGCCGGGUGUGUAAGCUCAGCAAUGAGUUUAGCUGACCGGUACUAAUCGGUCGAGGGCUUGACCUG